CCUACGGGAGGCAGCAGUGGGGAAUAUUGGACAAUGGGGGCAACCCUGAUCCAGCCAUGCCGCGUGUGUGAAGAAGGCCCUCGGGUUGUAAAGCACUUUCAGUGAGGAAGAACGCCUGGUGGUUAAUACCCAUCAGGAAAGACAUCACUCACAGAAGAAGCACCGGCUAACUCCGUGCCAGCAGCCGCGGUAAUACGGAGGGUGCGAGCGUUAAUCGGAAUUACUGGGCGUAAAGCGCGCGUAGGUGGCUUGAUAAGCCGGUUGUGAAAGCCCCGGGCUCAACCUGGGAACGGCAUCCGGAACUGUCAAGCUAGAGUGCAGGAGAGGAAGGUAGAAUUCCCGGUGUAGUGGUGAAAUGCGUAGAGAUCGGGAGGAAUACCAGUGGCGAAGGCGGCCUUCUGGACUGACACUGACACUGAGGUGCGAAAGCGUGGGUAGCAAACAGGAUUAGAUACCCUAGUAGUC
This 465-nucleotide ribosomal RNA is filed under the name Vreelandella stevensii. RNAcentral's name for it is "partial 16S ribosomal RNA". It matches the Rfam family "Bacterial small subunit ribosomal RNA", at positions 338 to 795 of the family's 1533-position model. Lineage: Bacteria; Pseudomonadati; Pseudomonadota; Gammaproteobacteria; Oceanospirillales; Halomonadaceae. The record is from RNAcentral.